UAAAUAAAUUAAAAUAAAAUACUAAAAUAGUAAAUUUAUUAUUGAAACUUAAGUAAUUUGGCGGUAUUUUAGUUCAUUUAGAGGAAUCUGUUUAAUAAUUGAUAAUCCACGAAUAAAUUUACUUAAUUUUAAAUUUUAUAUAUCGUUGUUAAAAAAAUAUUUUAUAAAAAAAAUAAUAUUUAAAAAUUAUAAAUAAAAUUAGUUCAGAUCAAGAUGUAGAUUAUAAUUAAGAAUAUAAUGGAUUACAAUAAUAAAAAUUAAAUGAAUAUAAUUUUGUAAAAAAUUAUUGAAGGUGGAUUUAAAUGUAAUUUUAUUUAAUUUAUUAAAAUGAUUAUAAAUUAAGAUAUGUACAUAUUGCCCGUCACUUUCAUUUGAAAAUUGGAAUAAGUCGUAACAAAGUAGAGGUACUGGAAAGUGUUUCUAGAAAGA
RNAcentral lists this ribosomal RNA (429 nucleotides) under Dismorphia amphione. RNAcentral describes it as "partial 12S ribosomal RNA". The record is from RNAcentral. Lineage: Eukaryota; Metazoa; Arthropoda; Insecta; Lepidoptera; Pieridae.